CCAGCAUAGAAGUGGGUAUUAGCCUCAUCGUGGCUGCCUAAAUGGCUGUUAGAGUCUCAAAAAUCUUUGUGUGAUUCUUAUACGUGAAGCAUCACACACUUUCUUCAUUGCGAAAAUAUUCUCAGCUGGAGUCACAUUAAAGAUAUGACA
This is a long non-coding RNA of Nannospalax galili (Upper Galilee mountains blind mole rat), 150 nucleotides long. RefSeq lists it as uncharacterized. The record is from RefSeq and is a predicted model, not a curated record. The transcript has 3 exons. NCBI's taxonomy places the organism in Eukaryota, Metazoa, Chordata, Mammalia, Rodentia, Spalacidae.